Molecule: long non-coding RNA, 299 nt
Filed under: Numida meleagris (helmeted guineafowl)
Lineage: Eukaryota; Metazoa; Chordata; Aves; Galliformes; Numididae
Description: lncRNA (ENSNMEG00000020690.1)
Source: RNAcentral
CCUUGGGUCAGUGCAAUGCAGCUGAGCAUGCUCCAGGUGGUGCAGCCUUCCUCUUCUCUGUGCGUGUGAGCAAGGCAUUUGGAAAGAUGAGUUGUGUGCAAGCACACAGUUCCAGGUGGUUUGACCAGAGGUUUGUGGCGGUCCAGUUUACAGGAAACUUUUAUGCUUAAACCAAGAGGAUGCUAUAGAUGGAGCUAAUCUGCGAAUACAAGAUAGGAUAUUCGGGAAGUAUUUGAGAACUUGGAGAUGGAUAAUUCCUUUUCCCUCCCCUCAUGCUUGCUAUUGGCAGUGCAUAUGAG